UUUGGUUAAGUUAGAAAGGGCGCACGGUGGAUGCCUUGACACUAGGAGUCGAUGAAGGACGGGACUAACGCCGAUAUGCUUCGGGGAGCUGUAAGUAAGCUUUGAUCCGAAGAUUUCCGAAUGGGGAAACCCACCAUACGUAAUGGUAUGGUAUCCUUAUCUGAAUACAUAGGGUAAGGAAGACAGACCCAGGGAACUGAAACAUCUAAGUACCUGGAGGAAGAGAAAGCAAAUGCGAUUUCCUGAGUAGCGGCGAGCGAAACGGAACAUAGCCCAAACCAAGAGGCUUGCCUCUUGGGGUUGUAGGACAUUCUAUACGGAGUUACAAAGGAACGAGGUAGACGAAGCGACCUGGAAAGGUCCGUCGUAGAGGGUAACAACCCCGUAGUCGAAACUUCGUUCUCUCUUGAAUGUAUCCUGAGUACGGCGGAACACGUGAAAUUCCGUCGGAAUCUGGGAGGACCAUCUCCCAAGGCUAAAUACUCCCUAGUGAUCGAUAGUGAACCAGUACCGUGAGGGAAAGGUGAAAAGCACCCCGGAAGGGGAGUGAAAGAGAUCCUGAAACCGUGUGCCUACAAAUAGUCAGAGCCCGUUAACGGGUGAUGGCGUGCCUUUUGUAGAAUGAACCGGCGAGUUACGAUCCCGUGCGAGGUUAAGCUGAAGAGGCGGAGCCGCAGCGAAAGCGAGUCUGAAUAGGGCGUUUAGUACGUGGUCGUAGACCCGAAACCAGGUGAUCUACCCAUGUCCAGGGUGAAGUUCAGGUAACACUGAAUGGAGGCCCGAACCCACGCACGUUGAAAAGUGCGGGGAUGAGGUGUGGGUAGCGGAGAAAUUCCAAUCGAACCUGGAGAUAGCUGGUUCUCCCCGAAAUAGCUUUAGGGCUAGCCUUAAGUGUAAGAGUCUUGGAGGUAGAGCACUGAUUGGACUAGGGGUCCUCAUCGGAUUACCGAAUUCAGUCAAACUCCGAAUGCCAAUGACUUAUCCUUAGGAGUCAGACUGCGAGUGAUAAGAUCCGUAGUCAAAAGGGAAACAGCCCAGACCGCCAGCUAAGGUCCCAAAGUGUGUAUUAAGUGGAAAAGGAUGUGGAGUUGCUUAGACAACUAGGAUGUUGGCUUAGAAGCAGCCACCAUUUAAAGAGUGCGUAAUAGCUCACUAGUCGAGUGACUCUGCGCCGAAAAUGUACCGGGGCUAAAUACACCACCGAAGCUGCGGAUUGAUACCGAAUGGUAUCAGUGGUAGGGGAGCGUUCUAAGGACAGUGAAGUCAGACCGGAAGGACUGGUGGAGUGCUUAGAAGUGAGAAUGCCGGUAUGAGUAGCGAAAGACGGGUGAGAAUCCCGUCCACCGAAUGCCUAAGGUUUCCUGAGGAAGGCUCGUCCGCUCAGGGUUAGUCAGGACCUAAGCCGAGGCCGACAGGCGUAGGCGAUGGACAACAGGUUGAUAUUCCUGUACCACCUCUUUAUCGUUUGAGCAAUGGAGGGACGCAGAAGGAUAGAAGAAGCGUGCGAUUGGUUGUGCACGUCCAAGCAGUUAGGCUGAUAAGUAGGCAAAUCCGCUUAUCGUAAAGGCUGAGCUGUGAUGGGGAAGCUCCUUAUGGAGCGAAGUCUUUGAUUCCCCGCUGCCAAGAAAAGCUUCUAGCGAGAUAAAAGGUGCCUGUACCGCAAACCGACACAGGUAGGCGAGGAGAGAAUCCUAAGGUGUGCGAGAGAACUCUGGUUAAGGAACUCGGCAAAAUGACCCCGUAACUUCGGGAGAAGGGGUGCUUUCUUAACGGAAAGCCGCAGUGAAUAGGCCCAAGCGACUGUUUAGCAAAAACACAGCUCUCUGCGAAGCCGUAAGGCGAAGUAUAGGGGGUGACACCUGCCCGGUGCUGGAAGGUUAAGGAGAGGGGUUAGCGUAAGCGAAGCUCUGAACUGAAGCCCCAGUAAACGGCGGCCGUAACUAUAACGGUCCUAAGGUAGCGAAAUUCCUUGUCGGGUAAGUUCCGACCCGCACGAAAGGUGUAACGAUUUGGGCACUGUCUCAACCAGAGACUCGGUGAAAUUAUAGUACCUGUGAAGAUGCAGGUUACCCGCGACAGGACGGAAAGACCCCGUGGAGCUUUACUGUAGCCUGAUAUUGAAUUUUGGUACAGUUUGUACAGGAUAGGCGGGAGCCUUUGAAACCGGAGCGCUAGCUUCGGUGGAGGCGCUGGUGGGAUACCGCCCUGACUGUAUUGAAAUUCUAACCUACGGGUCUUAUCGACCCGGGAGACAGUGUCAGGUGGGCAGUUUGACUGGGGCGGUCGCCUCCUAAAGUGUAACGGAGGCGCCCAAAGGUUCCCUCAGAAUGGUUGGAAAUCAUUCGUAGAGUGCAAAGGCAUAAGGGAGCUUGACUGCGAGACCUACAAGUCGAGCAGGGACGAAAGUCGGGCUUAGUGAUCCGGUGGUUCCGCAUGGAAGGGCCAUCGCUCAACGGAUAAAAGCUACCCCGGGGAUAACAGGCUUAUCUCCCCCAAGAGUCCACAUCGACGGGGAGGUUUGGCACCUCGAUGUCGGCUCAUCGCAUCCUGGGGCUGUAGUCGGUCCCAAGGGUUGGGCUGUUCGCCCAUUAAAGCGGUACGCGAGCUGGGUUCAGAACGUCGUGAGACAGUUCGGUCCCUAUCCGUCGUGGGCGUAGGAAAUUUGAGAGGAGCUGUCCUUAGUACGAGAGGACCGGGAUGGACGCACCGCUGGUGUACCAGUUGUUCUGCCAAGGGCAUAGCUGGGUAGCUAUGUGCGGAAGGGAUAAGUGCUGAAAGCAUCUAAGCAUGAAGCCCCCCUCAAGAUGAGAUUUCCCAUAGCGUAAGCUAGUAAGAUCCCUGAAAGAUGAUCAGGUUGAUAGGUUCGAGGUGGAAGCAUGGUGACAUGUGGAGCUGACGAAUACUAAUAGAUCGAGGACUUAACCAUAUAAUAUGUGAUUUCCCAUAGCGUAAGCUAGUAAGAUCCCUGAAAGAUGAUCAGGUUGAUAGGUUCGAGGUGGAAGCAUGGUGACAUGUGGAGCUGACGAAUACUAAUAGAUCGAGGACUUAACCAUA
RNAcentral lists this ribosomal RNA (3054 nucleotides) under Bacillus cereus. RNAcentral's name for it is "bacterial LSU rRNA". It matches the Rfam family "Bacterial large subunit ribosomal RNA". Lineage: Bacteria; Bacillati; Bacillota; Bacilli; Caryophanales; Bacillaceae. The record is from RNAcentral.